Molecule: long non-coding RNA, 4013 nt
Filed under: Nicotiana benthamiana
Lineage: Eukaryota; Viridiplantae; Streptophyta; Magnoliopsida; Solanales; Solanaceae
Description: long non-coding RNA (NBEN_LNC033764)
Source: RNAcentral
UAGUGACAGACAGAACUCUGCUUGCAGACUUUUCCACCAAGCUGGGGCAGAAGUUUCUUGUUCAUAAAGUAUGAGAACUUGCUAUAUAGAGAAAUAUAUUCAUCAUGAACAACCACUAUCAUGGCUUUGGGUCCCCAAAAGAAGUCUUGAAUGGUAGGGUUAGUAUCACUUGCUGCAAGACAUACCCAGAUGUUGCCUUCAAAUGAUUUUUCCCGUUCCAAAUUGCAUUGACCUCCACACCGCUUUUGAGUAAACACCUGCACCUUACCUCUUGAGCAAACUCCAAGUAAAAACUGACCAUUUCCUAUCGUCAACCAAUUUGAAGCAACAACCUCUGCAUCAAAAUAUAAAGUGUCUUCUAGUAUAAAACUGCCAGCAUCCUCAAUUCGCACACAUUCCCAUAUAUGAAUAGCAAAAGUACUUAAGUGACCUUUCGAGGUGGUUGCAAUUUUUCUGCCACAGACACUUGCAGAUAUAGUCAAAAUAGGGCCUUGCUGCAAAGCAAUCCUACCAACAAGAUCCCAUUGAGAAUUCGAGCUCCCAGCAGGCACACUUCUCCAUAAUAGCAAGUUACCAUCAAGACAACCAGUGACCAUAUGAUAAGCAAAGUAGUUUCUAUAUAAAUUAUUAGCAAAAAUUUCUUCAGUUAAACCAGAGUUUGUGGGACAGAUCACAGCAUAACUUGAAAUCUUAUCAUUGUCAUGGGGCUCUGGCAAAACUGAUGAAGAAGGUUCAACAGAGACAAGGUACGUAUAACCAGAAUAACUACUCUCAAAUUUACAUAUAUUGUUCUGCAAGGUGUUUGCACUGUCAAAACUGCAACCACAGCGUGUUUCCGACAACUCAAGUGAUGAAGGUCAAUUUUCCAUGAUAAUGCCUCAAAGCCUUUUUCCCACACAGCAAACAGCAAAAAGCUAUUUAAAAUAGUUUUGUUACAAGUGGAAGGCAACGGAAUUGAAAAGACGCUAUCCGGGCCCUGUCCAUGACUUCCAGCAGUAAGUGAUAUAGUACAUAUUUUGUCACAAACUAUUUCCAAUUCUUCAGUUUUCACAGCCUUAACUACUAAUAAAUCUAUUCCAUCUGCAUGUCCAAUGACAAUAAUGCGUUCUUCACUUAACAGAGUGGGUGCCCAUCUUAAGCUUGUAUACUUGGGUUGUUGAGGGAGUGCAAUCGCACCUUUCCCAAACAGUUUCCAAGAUGGGCUCAAAGUUGGGAGGCCCACAAUAGUAUUUGAAGCAGAAGAAAACAACCAAAAGAGGAGCUUUCCAUCAGUGUCCAGGGAGGCAGCAAAUUCCAACUCAGAUAAACAAGGAUGAAUUGCAACUUGCAGAAUUUUACUGCAGUGACUGUCUGCAUCUGAAAGUCCCCUUGCACAUAGUGAUAGUAAACAUUCAGUCUGACAUUUAUUUGGAGGCGACUCGUCUGUGCUACUCAAUUCUGAAGAUAACUCAUCACCUUUGGGGAAUUUUGAAGAAUAUAACUGCAUCCAGGCUAGAGAGUUACUUGGUAAUAGACUAAUAAAAGAACACACUGCUGGUGGACCAAAGACCUGAUUUCUCAUGAUAAGGACUUUAUUUAAGAGUAAUCCCCUUGACCUCGUUAGGACCGUUCAACUCUUUUCUUUUCCACAAUGUCACCCUUGGGGCUCUCACUGGAGAAAAAUCAUCAAGACAAUGAAUAGCCCAAAAGGUCAGUGUUGCUUGAGGACCUACAGCAAUCAACCACUCACACCUACCAGCAUUGCUUUGUUGAUGUUCAUCUGAUGAGGAAUAUGUCACAGCUUCCUCAUUGACAGUUAUUAUACCAUUAAUAUCAGUUGCCCAUCUUACAGACACAUCCAAGCCCAGCAUUCCAUUUAAUGCUUGGUUUACCUCAACUACAGCGACAACACGAAAAGAGAAUUUACUCAGUUUGUGAUCAUUACUAUCCUUGCCUAUUUUUCUAACCCUCCCAUCAUCAAUCUCAUUCCAGAGCCUUACAGCUCCAUCUAAACAGCAUGUUAAUAACACCAACCUCCUAGAAUAGCUGCCAUUUCUAGUUGAAUGUGUAACUAAAGAUGGUCUCCACUGAAUCAUAGAAACUGGUAACGGAUGGGGUAGCAUAGCUUCUGAUUGUCUGGAGUCUGCAUCUCUUUGACAUACCAAAACACAUUUGUGUCCUGCAUGGAUUUUUGAACUCGAACCUUCACUAUGUGAAGGUGCAGCAGCCAAAGGUCCUUCAAUUGACCAAGUAGCAGAAAUCAGAGUCUGAGGCAGUUCUGGUUUAAAUCUCCAAGCUAUUUCCCACGACCUCUCCUUCUUUCUCCAUAAUAUCAAUUCAAUGCCACCUGAAACUAUCCCAUCUCCUGAUCCCGUCCAUGUGAUUGAGUCCACCUUUGUAGAUUGUACUAGUGUUGAGGUCUGGCUCCAACAAAAAGAACCUGAAUAUGAGUAAAUAAAUUUAUACAUCUAGAGGAAGGAGGAUCCCUUUGACAUACCAAAACACAUUUGUGUCCUGCAUGGAUUUUUGAACUCGAACCUUCACUAUGUGAAGGUGCAGCAGCCAAAGGUCCUUCAAUUGACCAAGUAGCAGAAAUCAGAGUCUGAGGCAGUUCUGGUUUAAAUCUCCAAGCUAUUUCCCAAGACCUCUCCUUCUUUCUCCAUAAUAUCAAUUCAAUGCCACCUGAAACUAUCCCAUCUCCUGAUCCCGUCCAUGUGAUCGUGUCCACCUUUGUAGAUUGUACUAGUGUUGAGGUCUGGCUCCAACAAAAAGAACCUGAAUAUGAGUAAAUAAAUUUAUACAUCUAAGAGGGAUGGAAGGGAGGGCGGGGGGAGGGAGGGAGAGAGAGAGAGAGAUUUAAUAUCCAAUUAACCAAUAGUAGUAACUACUGUUAGCAAAACAAUUGCUUAAGGUUCCAUAUUCAUAUCCAGUCAGAACCAGAUCACCUCCUAAACAGAAUAGCUUUUGAGUUUAGCGCAUAGGAUCCAACUACUGCAAGAGUAGUAAUUUUAUUUCCAAGUACACUUAGAUGAUACGCAGCUCUAACUAUGUAACAUACCAAAGAAAAAAGCACCCUUUCACCAAGUUGGACAUCCUGCUGAGCCAUUCUUGUUAGGCAUUGAUUCUCAUCUAGCUUUAACCUCUAGUUUGUAAGAACCCCUGAUUGGCCUUAGAUAAUUCAGUGUUGGACUGUUGAAAUGAAAUAAGCUAAAAUAAAGCAAAAUGAACACAUGGAUUUCAGUAAAACCCACCCUAACUAAUUUGUGAUUGAGACGUGGUUGAUUAAAUUUAUUGAAUUUACGCACUAGUUCUCCAGUCAGUUUUGCGCUGUGAUCAGAGAAUUGUGUUUUACAAUUCCAACCCAAGGACCAUAAUACAGGUAACUUAAAUUGCUGCCAGAGGACAACAAGCCAAAACAUUUGCUCCUAGGGUAAGAAUAUUAUGGCCAUUCUCCAAUGCAUUACACUGCAACUCAUGCAUUGACUGUACCACACAUAUUUCUUGAUCCAGAGAUCCAGAAUGAAAGCAGUUCUACAUCAAAUUACAGGGGAUAUAUCUCAAAUAUUCAUCCAAACUAAAGCAGCGAACAUGUACCAGAAUAGUAUACACACUUUUAGAUAAGUAAAUUUGUUAAUAAAAAAGGCAACAAGACAGUGCUGGAUAGGUAGAGAAAGGAAAAAGAUUGUUCCUUUAUAGAUUAAUAAAGUAAUCAACUACAGAGCAUACUAGUAUAUAAUUCGAGAGCGAGAUCAGGAAACUGAAACUUACUAUGAGAAGCGUCAGAAUCGUAAGAAAACAAUCCAAUGCAGUUAUCGAGUGCGGCGGCAAGGUCUCCAGAAGAAGGCGUCACCGGGGACCAAGCAACGGCGGAGACAGUGCUAGUGCCGUCGAUUGAUAGCUCGAGGACCUGCUGAAAAACUGUGCCGAUUACAGUCUCAGUUUGUGAGAGAGGAUUAGGGAAUUGACGUAUGACGAGGAGAGACGAGGCACCGUAGGCAAUCCAUGAGUAGCCAGCGAAAGGCUGCCAGUCAAUU